GAUGAACGCUGGCGGCGUGCCUAAUACAUGCAAGUCGAGCGAACGGACGAGAAGCUUGCUUCUCUGAUGUUAGCGGCGGACGGGUGAGUAACACGUGGAUAACCUACCUAUAAGACUGGGAUAACUUCGGGAAACCGGAGCUAAUACCGGAUAAUAUUUUGAACCGCAUGGUUCAAAAGUGAAAGACGGUCUUGCUGUCACUUAUAGAUGGAUCCGCGCUGCAUUAGCUAGUUGGUAAGGUAACGGCUUACCAAGGCAACGAUGCAUAGCCGACCUGAGAGGGUGAUCGGCCACACUGGAACUGAGACACGGUCCAGACUCCUACGGGAGGCAGCAGUAGGGAAUCUUCCGCAAUGGGCGAAAGCCUGACGGAGCAACGCCGCGUGAGUGAUGAAGGUCUUCGGAUCGUAAAACUCUGUUAUUAGGGAAGAACAUAUGUGUAAGUAACUGUGCACAUCUUGACGGUACCUAAUCAGAAAGCCACGGCUAACUACGUGCCGGCAACCGCGGUAAUACGUAAGUGGCGAGCGUUAUCCGGAAUUAUUGGGCGUAAAGCGCGCGUAGGCGGUUUUUUAGUCUGAUGUGAAAGCCCACGGCUCAACCGUGGAGGGUCAUUGGAAACUGGAAAACUUGGGUGCAGAAGAGGAAAGUGGAAUUCCAUGUGUAGCGGUGAAAUGCGCAGAGAUAUGGAGGAACACCAGUGGCGAAGGCGACUUUCUGGUCUGUAACUGACGCUGAUGUGCGAAAGCGUGGGGAUCAAACAGGAUUAGAUACCCUGGUAGUCCACGCCGUAAACGAUGAGUGCUAAGUGUUAGGGGGUUUCCGCCCCUUAGUGCUGCAGCUAACGCAUUAAGCACUCCGCCUGGGGAGUACGACCGCAAGGUUGAAACUCAAAGGAAUUGACGGGGACCCGCACAAGCGGUGGAGCAUGUGGUUUAAUUCGAAGCAACGCGAAGAACCUUACCAAAUCUUGACAUCCUUUGACAACUCUAGAGAUAGAGCUUUCCCCUUCGGGGGACAAAGUGACAGGUGGUGCAUGGUUGUCGUCAGCUCGUGUCGUGAGAUGUUGGGUUAAGUCCCGCAACGAGCGCAACCCUUAAGCUUAGUUGCCAUCAUUAAGUUGGGCACUCUAAGUUGACUGCCGGUGACAAACCGGAGGAAGGUGGGGAUGACGUCAAAUCAUCAUGCCCCUUAUGAUUUGGGCUACACACGUGCUACAAUGGACAAUACAAAGGGCAGCGAAACCGCGAGGUCAAGCAAAUCCCAUAAAGUUGUUCUCAGUUCGGAUUGUAGUCUGCAACUCGACUACAUGAAGCUGGAAUCGCUAGUAAUCGUAGAUCAGCAUGCUACGGUGAAUACGUUCCCGGGUCU
This 1371-nucleotide ribosomal RNA is filed under the name uncultured bacterium. RNAcentral describes it as "bacterial SSU rRNA". It matches the Rfam family "Bacterial small subunit ribosomal RNA", at positions 28 to 1381 of the family's 1533-position model. The record is from RNAcentral.